UACGAAGGGGGCGAGCGUUGUUCGGAUUUACUGGGCGUAAAGGGCGCGUAGGCGGCCUUGUCAGUCAGGCGUGAAAGCCCCGGGCUCAACCUGGGAACGGCGCUUGGGACGGCGAGGCUGGAGUUCGGGAGAGGAGAGUGGAAUUCCCAGUGUAGAGGUGAAAUUCGUAGAUAUUGGGAAGAACACCGGUGGCGAAGGCGGCUCUCUGGUCUGUAACUGACACUGAGGCGCGAAAGCGUGGGGAGCAAACAGG
RNAcentral lists this ribosomal RNA (253 nucleotides) under uncultured bacterium. Its description in RNAcentral is "partial 16S ribosomal RNA". It matches the Rfam family "Bacterial small subunit ribosomal RNA", at positions 524 to 776 of the family's 1533-position model. The record is from RNAcentral.